RNAcentral lists this long non-coding RNA (616 nucleotides) under Fukomys damarensis (Damara mole-rat). RNAcentral describes it as "lncRNA (ENSFDAG00000030053.1)". The record is from RNAcentral. Lineage: Eukaryota; Metazoa; Chordata; Mammalia; Rodentia; Bathyergidae.
CUCACAGAGCUCUUUUCCAGGAAGAGGACAUGUAGGGCUGGCUGACUUCUUCCUGUACAGUCUGCUGGGACAAGGCCCAAAGGCAUUGCAUCUUUCUACUCUUAAAGAAUCUUCCUAGGGCUUCAGGUUUAUUAAAGGCCAUCCUGCAGUAGGGGAGAGAGUCAAACAUCACCAUUUCCCAUGGAUUUGGACUCCAGCUUCCUGGGACACCAAGACAACUGGAUGAGCUACGUGUUGGUAAAUGGAGGUUUGGAAAGCCACCUUCCUUCCUCGUCCUCCAAUACCACUGAUCCUGCAACACACAAGAGGGCUCCAUCUGAUGUGACAAGAAACACAUCCUUUAAUAAGAAAAGUCAUGUGCUGAGGUUGCUGAGGUCAAUAGAAUGAAUCUUCUCUCUGUGAAAUUGUAAAGAAGGAAAACAACUAUGCAUUAGUUUUGCUAUCGCACCUCAAACUUGGCAAAAGUUAAUGGCCAUGAUCUGUUAAGAUGAAAAAGGCAUUAAACUGUAAGGUUCAGUACUUUCGGUGGUUUUGGGCAUUCACUGGGGAUCUUGUACUUGUCCACUGAAUUGAAGGGCCCUUACCAUAUCACAGACCGGCACCUUAACCAGCAAAC